AUCGUGUAUGCUGUCAUACCUACAAGAAAAAUCUAUAAGAUGUGACUCAGAAGAAUUGGAAAUAGUAUUGUACAGUGAUAACUGCGGAGCUCAACAAAAAAAUAGAUUUUUGAUUGCAGUUUUUAUGUAUGCCGUAAUGAACUUCAAAAUAAAAAGCAUUACCCAUAAAUAUCUUGUGGUCGGCCAUACUCAAAAUCCUGGAGAUUCAGUCCACUCGACCAUUGAGAAGCAGGUUACACGCUCUUUAAAAUCAGGUCCGAUCUUUGUACCUGAUCAAUUUGUUACUAUGAUCAGAAUGGCCAAAAAAAAAGGAACUCCAUACCACGUCAAGGAGCUUACACAUGAUGACUUUUACAAUGUUAAGCAACUAAUGACUGAUUUUGGAAGUAAUUUCACAGUUAAUUCUAAGAAAGAACAGGUUUUUAUAAAUAGUCUUCGUGUAGUUAAAGUCGAAAAGGCACAUCCAUUUAAAUAUUUUUACAAAACAUCUUUUUCUGAUUUGGAGUUUGAGCAAGCGAUUGUAAGAGAAACUAAACUUGUUAAUACCCGAAAAUCCUCUAGAAGGACAGAAACAGACUGUGAUGUCCCAAAAGUGCCUACAUUAGUCAAAGCAUAUUCUUCUAAACUUCCUUUAAUUGAAAAUAAAAAAAGGACCUUAAAUUCCUGUUAGAAAACGGAUACAUUCCAAAAUAUUAUUCACUCUUUUAUAACUCUUUGUUUUAAUUUUAGCUUGGAAUUUUUAGAAU
Long non-coding RNA from Anthonomus grandis grandis, 746 nucleotides. RefSeq lists it as uncharacterized. The transcript is spliced from 3 exons. NCBI's taxonomy places the organism in Eukaryota, Metazoa, Arthropoda, Insecta, Coleoptera, Curculionidae. The record is from RefSeq and is a predicted model, not a curated record.